UACGGAGGGGGCUAGCGUUGUUCGGAAUUACUGGGCGUAAAGCGCACGUAGGCGGCUUUGUAAGUUAGAGGUGAAAGCCCAGGGCUUAACCCUGGAAUUGCCUUUAAGACUGCAUCGCUAGAAUCGUGGAGAGGUGAGUGGAAUUCCGAGUGUAGAGGUGAAAUUCGUAGAUAUUCGGAGGAACACCAGUGGCGAAGGCGACUCACUGGACACGUAUUGACGCUGAGGUGCGAAAGCGUGGGGAGCAAACAGG
This 253-nucleotide ribosomal RNA is filed under the name uncultured bacterium. RNAcentral describes it as "partial 16S ribosomal RNA". It matches the Rfam family "Bacterial small subunit ribosomal RNA", at positions 524 to 776 of the family's 1533-position model. The record is from RNAcentral.